UAUUGGACAAUGGGGGCAACCCUGAUCCAGCCAUGCCGCGUGAGUGAAGAAGGCCUUAGGGUUGUAAAGCACUUUCAAUUGGGAGGAAAACCUGCCGGUCAAUACCCGGUAGCUUGACAUUACCUUUAGAAGAAGCACCGGCUAACUCCGUGCCAGCAGCCGCGGUAAUACGGAGGGUGCGAGCGUUAAUCGGAAUUACUGGGCGUAAAGCGUGCGUAGGCGGUUCGUUAAGUCAGAUGUGAAAGCCCUGGGCUCAACCUGGGAACGGCAUUUGAAACUGGCGGACUAGAGUUUAGUAGAGGGGAGUGGAAUUUCAGGUGUAGCGGUGAAAUGCGUAGAUAUUUGAAGGAACACCAGUGGCGAAGGCGACUCCCUGGACUAGAACUGACGCUGAGUACGAAG
Molecule: ribosomal RNA, 402 nt
Filed under: uncultured bacterium
Lineage: Bacteria
Description: bacterial SSU rRNA
Rfam family: Bacterial small subunit ribosomal RNA
Source: RNAcentral